RNAcentral lists this small RNA (164 nucleotides) under Arabidopsis thaliana (thale cress). RNAcentral describes it as "ATSL151110". The stretch from base 54 to 143 matches the Rfam family "Small nucleolar RNA snoR8a". The record is from RNAcentral. Lineage: Eukaryota; Viridiplantae; Streptophyta; Magnoliopsida; Brassicales; Brassicaceae.
CAUUAUCAUUAGGUUUGUUUUGUGUUUGUAGAUGAGUGUGGAUAUGAAUUGGGUUGGAUGCUAUGAUUGUAAAAGUAAUUCCUCGUACUGAAUGCUCAUAAGGCAUGAUAGACUUACAUUACUACCCAUAGAAUAUGAGCAUCACCCUUUUCUUCUGAUCAAAU